This 253-nucleotide ribosomal RNA is filed under the name uncultured bacterium. RNAcentral describes it as "partial 16S ribosomal RNA". It matches the Rfam family "Bacterial small subunit ribosomal RNA", at positions 524 to 776 of the family's 1533-position model. The record is from RNAcentral.
GACAGAGGUGGCGAGCGUUGUUCGGAAUUACUGGGCUUAAAGGGCGCGUAGGCGGUGGUACAAGUCUGAGGUGGAAUGCUACGGCUCAACCGUAGAAUUGCCUUGGAAACUGUACUGCUUGAGUUAGACAGGGGAAGGCGGAAUUCCUGGUGUAGCGGUGAAAUGCGUAGAUAUCAGGAGGAAGGCCUGUGGCGAAGGCGGCCUUCUGGGUCUUAACUGACGCUGAGGCGCGAAAGCGUGGGGAGCAAACAGG